Molecule: ribosomal RNA, 253 nt
Filed under: uncultured bacterium
Lineage: Bacteria
Description: partial 16S ribosomal RNA
Rfam family: Bacterial small subunit ribosomal RNA
Source: RNAcentral
UACGAAGGGGGCUAGCGUUGUUCGGAUUUACUGGGCGUAAGGCGCACGUAGGCGGAUCGAUCAGUCAGGGGUGAAAUCCCAGAGCUCAACUCUGGAACUGCCUUUGAUACUGUCGAUCUGGAGUAUGGAAGAGGUGAGUGGAAUUCCGAGUGUAGAGGUGAAAUUCGUAGAUAUUCGGAGGAACACCAGUGGCGAAGGCGGCUCACUGGUCCAUUACUGACGCUGAGGUGCGAAAGCGUGGGGAGCAAACAGG